This 491-nucleotide ribosomal RNA is filed under the name uncultured bacterium. RNAcentral describes it as "partial 16S ribosomal RNA". It matches the Rfam family "Bacterial small subunit ribosomal RNA", at positions 28 to 507 of the family's 1533-position model. The record is from RNAcentral.
GAUGAACGCUAGCUACAGGCUUAACACAUGCAAGUCGAGGGGAAACGCCAUCGAAAGCUUGCUUUUGAUGGGGUCGACCGGGGGACGGGGGGAGAAAGGGUAAUCCAACCGGCCAAUACCUUGGGGUAAACCUUCGGAAGUAAGACCAAUUACCAAUGAAAUCUCUAGAAAAACACUGGAAGAGAAUAAAGAAUUAAUGGGUAUGGAUGGGGAUGCGUCUGAUUAGCUUGUUGGCGGGGUAACGGCCCACCAAGGCAACGAUCAGUAGGGGGUCUGAGAGGAAGGUCCCCCACAUUGGAACUGAGACACGGUCCAAACUCCUACGGGAGGCAGCAGUGAGGAAUAUUGGUCAAUGGGCGAGAGCCUGAACCAGCCAAGUAGCGUGCAGGAAGACGGCCCUAUGGGUUGUAAACUGCUUUUAUAAGGGAAUAAAGUGAGAGUCGUGACUCUUUUUGUAUGUACCUUAUGAAUAAGGACCGGCUAAUUCCGUG